GGAAAGGCGCGCGAUACAGGGUGACAGCCCCGUACACAAAAAUGCACAUGCUGUGAGCUCGAUGAGUAGGGCGGGACACGUGGUAUCCUGUCUGAAUAUGGGGGGACCAUCCUCCAAGGCUAAAUACUCCUGACUGACCGAUAGUGAACCAGUACCGUGAGGGAAAGGCGAAAAGAACCCCGGCGAGGGGAGUGAAAAAGAACCUGAAACCGUGUACGUACAAGCAGUGGGAGCACGCUUAGGCGUGUGACUGCGUACCUUUUGUAUAAUGGGUCAGCGACUUAUAUUCUGUAGCAAGGUUAACCGAAUAGGGGAGCCGAAGGGAAACCGAGUCUUAACUGGGCGUUAAGUUGCAGGGUAUAGACCCGAAACCCGGUGAUCUAGCCAUGGGCAGGUUGAAGGUUGGGUAACACUAACUGGAGGACCGAACCGACUAAUGUUGAAAAAUUAGCGGAUGACUUGUGGCUGGGGGUGAAAGGCCAAUCAAACCGGGAGAUAGCUGGUUCUCCCCGAAAGCUAUUUAGGUAGCGCCUCGUGAAUUCAUCUCCGGGGGUAGAGCACUGUUUCGGCAAGGGGGUCAUCCCGACUUACCAACCCGAUGCAAACUGCGAAUACCGGAGAAUGUUAUCACGGGAGACACACGGCGGGUGCUAACGUCCGUCGUGAAGAGGGAAACAACCCAGACCGCCAGCUAAGGUCCCAAAGUCAUGGUUAAGUGGGAAACGAUGUGGGAAGGCCCAGACAGCCAGGAUGUUGGCUUAGAAGCAGCCAUCAUUUAAAGAAAGCGUAAUAGCUCACUGGUCGAGUCGGCCUGCGCGGAAGAUGUAACGGGGCUAAACCAUG
Molecule: ribosomal RNA, 843 nt
Filed under: Escherichia coli
Lineage: Bacteria; Pseudomonadati; Pseudomonadota; Gammaproteobacteria; Enterobacterales; Enterobacteriaceae
Also listed under: 4 other names
Description: bacterial LSU rRNA
Rfam family: Bacterial large subunit ribosomal RNA
Source: RNAcentral